Molecule: ribosomal RNA, 423 nt
Filed under: Swennenia jabae
Lineage: Eukaryota; Metazoa; Mollusca; Gastropoda; Limapontiidae
Description: partial 16S ribosomal RNA
Rfam family: Archaeal large subunit ribosomal RNA
Source: RNAcentral
AGCUUGAAGAGUAAUUUUAGGUGAGACCUGCCCAGUGCAACGUUAACGGCCGCAGUACCCUGACUGUGCUAAGGUAGCAUAAUCAGUUGGCUUUUAAAUGGAGUCGGGAAUGAAUGGAUUAAUGGGGUUUAGCUGUCUCUUAUGUGCUAAUUUGAACUUUUUUAUUAGGUGAAAAUACCUAACUAUAGAAAAAAGACGAGAAGACCCUAGGAGUUUUUACUAAAACUUUUAUUUGUUACGUUUUUGUUGGGGCGACAAGAGAAGAAUAUAAACUUCUUUUUAUAAUUGGCCGACUAAGUAUGAAAAUUUAAACUACCCUAGGGAUAACAGCGUAAUUCUUUUUGAGUUUGCGACCUCGAUGUUGGACUAGGAAUUUGGUGGGCUAGCCGCCCUUUAUAAUUGUUCUGUUCGAACUAUUUUUCC